GGGAGCUUAGCUCAGCUGGGAGAGCAUCUGCCUUACAAGCAGAGGGUCAUAGGUUCGAGCCCUAUAGCUCCCACCA
RNAcentral lists this transfer RNA (76 nucleotides) under Ruminococcus callidus. Its description in RNAcentral is "tRNA-Val". It matches the Rfam family "tRNA". From Rfam's summary of the family: Transfer RNA (tRNA) molecules are approximately 80 nucleotides in length. Their secondary structure includes four short double-helical elements and three loops (D, anti-codon, and T loops). The record is from RNAcentral. Lineage: Bacteria; Bacillati; Bacillota; Clostridia; Eubacteriales; Oscillospiraceae. RNAcentral also lists the same sequence under 3 other names.